GUAGGUGAACUGCGGAAGGAUCAUU
Molecule: ribosomal RNA, 25 nt
Filed under: Bunostomum sp. NMG-2010
Lineage: Eukaryota; Metazoa; Nematoda; Chromadorea; Rhabditida; Ancylostomatidae
Also listed under: 1 other name
Description: partial 18S ribosomal RNA
Source: RNAcentral